Long non-coding RNA from Equus caballus (horse), 1665 nucleotides. RefSeq lists it as uncharacterized. NCBI's taxonomy places the organism in Eukaryota, Metazoa, Chordata, Mammalia, Perissodactyla, Equidae. The record is from RefSeq and is a predicted model, not a curated record.
CACUUGUUAAUUCUGCAGUAAAAUUCAUUAGUAAUAAUUAGAAAUUCAAUAUUUAGUUCAGUAAUAAAAAUUCAUCUUUUAGAUUAAAUCAUAGUUGCAAAUAUCAAAAUCCAUUCCAUUUAUUCUCACAGUAAACCAUUAGGUAGCUGGAUGGAAGAUAUUAUUUCACUGGGCAAUCCAUUAUUUAAUAAAGUUAUUUUUUACUGUUUCCUUCCUGCAGGUAAAUAUCUAUUUUUCCUCUUUUAUUCACAUAAUCAGAAUCUCACAAUUAUUUAAAAUCUGACCAAACCAUUUGUUUUUUGUUUUUAUCUCAAUGGGAUAGAGGAGGUGAUUUUUACGAGAGAUGCUUUUAUGCUUUUAGCUUAACGUUCUGUGAUUAAGAAGCAAAAAAAAAUUUUGCAGAAAAAAGUAUUUGAAACCACACCAAGGAAAACAAUUUGGCUCUCACUUGUAAAGGAUAGAAACAUUAACGUUUUGAGGUUAGACUGAGUUCUCUCUGGAGAGGUGGGUUUAAUUCUCUUGAUCAUAGUACUAAGUAGAACCUAGGAGAAGCCAAGGUGAUGUCACAAUUGUCUUCUAAAAGCCCAGUCCCUUGUAGGUAGAUUCCGUGCCCCACCCCCCCGGCCUUCUUAAGUAAUGGUACCUAAAUAUAAGUCCUAUAAAGUCAAUUGAGUAUGAUAUCAGUCAUCCACUUGUCCAAGAGCCGGUGUGUUAAACAACCACUGUAGUCCAGUGUCUCCUCCUCAGAAGGUCCGAUCUUCCUGAUGCAGAGCACUGCCCUUGUGCGCAUUCCACCAUCACAAGUCUUGCUACACUCCAACCAAUCCCCAAUGAACCACCUGCAGCAAGAAGUGGAAGAAACACAGACAAGCAUUUCCUCAGUGCAGCCAGAGAUUUUCAGCUGAGUGAAGGCACUUUCAUCAAUGGACUACAUCCUUUUCCUAGAAGGGCUGACAGGGGGAGAGAAGACCAGGUAUCCAUCUUGAAGAUGUGGGAGUCUUUAAAAACCUGCACCAAGAGCAGAGCCCCGAGCCACCUCUGUGAAAACAUGGAGUUCCCUUGCUUUGACCCUUUUACUGCUAAAAAUAGCUUCUACACAGCUAAUGUGAGAAAAAACUGAGAUGUUUUAACAAAAUGAACAUGUCUCACAUUUCUAGGUAUACUACUCUUUUUUCCUAAGGUCAUCAAUGAACUUUCAUAUUUAUAUACACAUAUAUAAUUUCAGGGGGUUUUGGUGUGUGUACUACUUCUGCAGGACUCACUCUCUUAGGCACAUUAAUUGGUCCAAGGGAUGUGACUCAUGAUCCAAAUCAGACCAAUGAGAAUUUGGCUUUAGAAUUUUUACAUCUUGACUAGAGCAAAAGGGACCCUUUCCUUUCUGGUCACAAAGAUGUAUAAAGAUAUAAGAGCUGUGGGUGGUCAUGUUUCCUGUCAAGUGGAAUUAGCUGAUUUGAAAGAAUUCACAGGAGAUAGAGUCCUGAGAGUGUUUGAAUCCUUGAUUUCUAGCCAUUCCUCAAGCUAGGUCCAUUCUUAUCCUUCCCUCAGCUUUGUCAUGUAAACCAGUAAAUCCUCUUCUGUGCAGAAGCUAGCUGAAGUUGAAGUUAUUUCCAACCUGAGUCCUGACUGACACAUUAUUGUAUUUAAUUUAAUAAAUAUAUGCUGAAU